RNAcentral lists this ribosomal RNA (301 nucleotides) under uncultured bacterium. RNAcentral's name for it is "partial 16S ribosomal RNA". It matches the Rfam family "Bacterial small subunit ribosomal RNA", at positions 509 to 807 of the family's 1533-position model. The record is from RNAcentral.
CAGUAGCCGCGGUAAUACGUAGGUGGCAAGCGUUGUCCGGAAUUAUUGGGCGUAAAGGGCUCGCAGGCGGUUUCUUAAGUCUGAUGUGAAAGCCCCCGGCUCAACCGGGGAGGGUCCUUGGAAACUGGAAAACUUGAGUGCAGAAGAGGAGAGUGGAAUUCCACGUGUAGCGGUGAAAUGCGUAGAGAUGUGGAGGAACACCAGUGGCGAAGGCGACUCUCUGGUCUGUAACUGACGCUGAGGAGCGAAAGCGUGGGGAGCGAACAGGAUUAGAUACCCCGGUAGUCCCUGUCUCUUAUAC